AGGCAGUGACAUGUCAUUACAAGCCGGAAGUCCCCGCCCGAGAGAACAGUCCCCAGGGCUUGCUAAGCAUGCGUGGUAUCAAGAGGCGCACUGAGAUGCUCCUACAGCCUCCUCCCCGCAUGGGACUCCUCACAGCCCCGGCCUCAGCCUCCCCCACAGGGCGGAGGCUCACUCUCACCCACUCUGGGCCAGGAACGCAGCCGGCUUGCCUUUUGUCCAAUUGGGUGCUCUUUCUUUGCCACUGAUACAAAGUGGGGACACACUCCGCUUCCAGUGAUGCCCGGGCCGCAGGAGGCUGGGGGAGAAGUGCCCGCUGCCCGGCCUUCAACCUGAGCUGCCUCCAACACUGCAGAGCCCAGACCCCUGCAGCUGUGAGAAAACACACCCCUGGGUGGAGAUUUAAGAUGCUAAUGAGACACGCAACUUAUGAACAAGCAGGUGCAGGUACUGCGCAUGUGCACCCAGAGGACGCACCCCCCAGAACAUGUUUCCUAGCAACGCCUCUGCCCACCCGCUGAUUAUCUCGGCACCAUGGGAACCACUUCCUUUACUCUCACUGACCGUCCCUGGGACAUAUCUUUAAAAAUUGGAACACCUUUCGGGUGGAUGAGCUAAAAAGGAAAAGACAUCUUAUGUUACACUGUUUGGCCUGGGUACAAGUUCGCUGACAAUGAAAAGUGGUCAGAGAGUGGAACCGUGAGCUUCACUGACAUCUUGCAGCUCUGUCUUUCCGUAGGAAUCAGGGACAAUGGUCCUAAGUACCCUAUAAGCAAGCAUGUGUGGCCUUACAACAGAACCCGGCUCUACGCAAAAGCUGCAGGCUAAAAUCCAGUAAGCUAGAAAGCCCCCCAGACCCAUGCGAAGACCCUCUUUUAUUAAAGGGAAGGGUCCCCAGGCCCCAUGGCCCAACUCCAAGUCCAGAUAGGGGUUCUCAGGGCUCCUUACCUCCUUCUGACUCCCCAGCAUCCCCUGCACUAUCAGAGUCUCCUGUGGAAUCUAAUCCCAUUUCACCCCCUCCUUAUGCUCCUCCUUUGCAGGUACAAUAGGGACUUGCCCGGCUGGAGGUACUCGCACUGGGACAUCACACCAUCCAGGGCCAGAGAAACUGCUCCCUUUAUGGGAGGUCCCAAAUGGAGAGGGGACCAUUAUGGCACAUGUCCCAUAAAUGAUCUAAUUUAUGGACUCACAUCAACAAAUGAUGGAAUCCAGUGGAAGCAAAAAAACAAAAACUCACCUUCUGUAGCAGAGAAAUGGAGAGUAGCCCUAGGAGUCCCCCCAAAACUGGGAGAAACACCGUGUCUGGUUGUGGGAGGAACACCUCGUUCUGUUGUGGGAGAGACGCCUCGGCUGGUUGGCUCCUUAGGGCAGUCACAGCCAUCGCCAUUCCAGUAGAAGAAGCCCAAAACCUGACUUUUUUGGGGUUUUUUUGGUGUUUUGUUUUGUUUUGUUUUGUUUUUUUGAGACGGAGUCUUGCUCUGUCGCCAGGCAGGAGUG
Molecule: long non-coding RNA, 1494 nt
Organism: Rhinopithecus roxellana (golden snub-nosed monkey)
Lineage: Eukaryota; Metazoa; Chordata; Mammalia; Primates; Cercopithecidae
Exons: 3
Source: RefSeq, a predicted model, not a curated record